Molecule: transfer RNA, 76 nt
Filed under: Solitalea canadensis DSM 3403
Lineage: Bacteria; Pseudomonadati; Bacteroidota; Sphingobacteriia; Sphingobacteriales; Sphingobacteriaceae
Description: tRNA-Phe
Rfam family: tRNA
About the family: Transfer RNA (tRNA) molecules are approximately 80 nucleotides in length. Their secondary structure includes four short double-helical elements and three loops (D, anti-codon, and T loops). Further hydrogen bonds mediate the characteristic L-shaped molecular structure. tRNAs have two regions of fundamental functional importance: the anti-codon, which is responsible for specific mRNA codon recognition, and the 3' end, to which the tRNAs corresponding amino acid is attached (by aminoacyl-tRNA synthetases). tRNAs cope with the degeneracy of the genetic code in two manners: having more than one tRNA (with a specific anti-codon) for a particular amino acid; and 'wobble' base-pairing, i.e. permitting non-standard base-pairing at the 3rd anti-codon position.
Source: RNAcentral
GGUGAUGUAGCUCAGUCGGUAGAGCAAAGGACUGAAAAUCCUUGUGUCGCUGGUUCGAUCCCGGCCAUCACCACAA